Molecule: ribosomal RNA, 253 nt
Filed under: uncultured bacterium
Lineage: Bacteria
Description: partial 16S ribosomal RNA
Rfam family: Bacterial small subunit ribosomal RNA
Source: RNAcentral
UACGGAGGGGGCUAGCGUUGUUCGGAAUUACUGGGCGUACAGCGCGUGCAGGCGGCUUGGUAAGUCGGAAGUGAAAGCCCUCGGCUCCACAGGGGAACUGCUUUCGGAACUGCCAGGCUUGAAUGCGGGAGGGGAGAGCGGAAUUCCCGGUGUAGCGGUGAAAUGCGUAGAUAUCGGGAAGAACACCGGUGGCGAAGGCGGCUCUCUGGACCGUGAUUGACGCUGAGACGCGAAAGCGUGGGGAGCAAACAGG